UUGUGCGAUCAUACAAGCACUAAUGCAUCAGAUCCCAUAAGAACUCCGCAGUUAAGUGCCUUUGGGCGAGAGUAGUACUAGAACGGGUGAUCCCCUAAGAAGUACUGGUGUUGUACCCC
Molecule: non-coding RNA, 119 nt
Organism: Gossypium raimondii (Peruvian cotton)
Lineage: Eukaryota; Viridiplantae; Streptophyta; Magnoliopsida; Malvales; Malvaceae
Source: Rfam